GACAAACGCUGGCGGGGUGCGUGAGACAUGCAAGUCGAACGAGGAGCCUCCGAGCUUGCUUGGAGGUUUCCUAGUGGCGGACGGCUGAGUAACGCGUAGGUGACCUACCCGGAAGUGGGGAAUAACUGCCCGAAAGGGUGGCUAAUACCGCAUGUGAUCGGUGAUUCGAUUCACCGCUUAAAGGAGCAAUCCGCUUCCGGCGGGGCCUGCGUUCGAUUAGCUAGUUGGUGGGGUAACGGCUCACCAAGGCGACGAUCGAUAGCUGGUCUGAGAGGAUGAUCAGCCAGACUGGGACUGAGAACGGCCCAGACUCCUACGGGAGGCAGCAGUCGGGAAUUUUGCCCAAUGGACGAAAGUCUGAGGCAGCAACUCCGCGUGAGGGACGAAGGCUCUAGGGUCGUAAACCUCUUUUCUCAGGGAAGACCCAAGACGGUACCUGAGGAAUAAGCCACGGCUAACUACGUGCCAGCAGCCGCGGUAAUACGUAGGUGGCAAGCGUUGUCCGGAUUUACUGGGCGUAAAGAGCGCGCAGGCGGCUGGUCAAGUCCGAUGUGAAAUCUCCCGGCUCAACUGGGAAACUGCAUCGGAAACUGAUCGGCUUGAAGGUGGGAGAGGGUAGUGGAAUUCCCGGUGUAGUGGUGAAAUGCGUAGAUAUCGGGAGGAACACCAGUGGCGAAGGCGGCUUCCUGGACUAACACUGACGCUGAGGCGCGAAAGCGUGGGGAGCAAACAGGAUUAGAUACCCUGGUAGUCCACGCCGUAAACGAUGAGAACUAGCCGUCGGAAGCAUCUGGCUUUUGGUGGCGCAGCUAACGCGUUAAGUUCUCCGCCUGGGGAGUACGGCCGCAAGGCUAAAACUCAAAUGAAUUGACGGGGGCCCGCACAAGCGGUGGAGCAUGUGGUUUAAUUCGACGCAACGCGAAGAACCUUACCUGCCCUUGACAUGCCAGGAAUCCCACAGAGAUGUGGGAGUGCCUUCGGGAACCUGGACACAGGUGCUGCAUGGCUGUCGUCAGCUCGUGUCGUGAGAUGUUGGGUUAAGUCCCGCAACGAGCGCAACCCUUGUCUCUAGUUACUAACAGUUCGGCUGAGCACUCUAGAGAGACUGCCGGUGAUAAACCGGAGGAAGGUGGGGAUGACGUCAAGUCAUCAUGGCCCUUAUGGGCAGGGCUACACACGUGCUACAAUGGACGGUACAGAGGGUCGCCAACCCGCGAGGGGGAGCUAAUCUCACAAAGCCGUUCGUAGUCCGGAUUGCAGUCUGCAACUCGACUGCAUGAAGUCGGAAUCGCUAGUAAUCGCAGAUCAGCACGCUGCGGUGAAUACGUUCCCGGGCCUUGUACACACCGCCCGUCACACCAUGGGAGUCGGUUGCACCAGAAGUAGGUAGUCUAACCUUCGGGAGGGCGCUUACCACGGUGUGGUCGAUGACUGGGGUG
Molecule: ribosomal RNA, 1439 nt
Filed under: uncultured bacterium
Lineage: Bacteria
Description: partial 16S ribosomal RNA
Rfam family: Bacterial small subunit ribosomal RNA
Source: RNAcentral